RNAcentral lists this ribosomal RNA (433 nucleotides) under uncultured bacterium. RNAcentral describes it as "partial 16S ribosomal RNA". It matches the Rfam family "Bacterial small subunit ribosomal RNA", at positions 29 to 507 of the family's 1533-position model. The record is from RNAcentral.
AACGAACGCUGGCGGCAUGCCUAACACAUGCAAGUCGAACGAGACCUUCGGGUCUAGUGGCGCACGGGUGCGUAACGCGUGGGAACCUGCCCUUAGGUUCGGAAUAACUCCCCGAAAGGGGUGCUAAUAUCGGAUAAUGUCUUCGGACCAAAGAUUUAUCGCCUUUGGAUGGGCCCGCGUUGGAUUAGCUAGUUGGUAGGGUAAAAGCCUACCAAGGCGACGAUCCAUAGCUGGUCUGAGAGGAUGAUCAGCCACACUGGGACUGAGACACGGCCCAGACUCCUACGGGAAGCAGCAGUGGGGAAUAUUGGACAAUGGGCGAAAGCCUGAUCCAGCAAUGCCGCGUGAGUGAUGAAGGCCUUAGGGUUGUAAAGCUCUUUUACCCGGGAUGAUAAUGACAGUACCGGGAGAAUAAGCUCCGGCUAACUCCGUG